RNAcentral lists this ribosomal RNA (496 nucleotides) under uncultured bacterium. Its description in RNAcentral is "partial 16S ribosomal RNA". It matches the Rfam family "Bacterial small subunit ribosomal RNA", at positions 28 to 506 of the family's 1533-position model. The record is from RNAcentral.
GAUGAACGCUGGCGGCGUGCCUAAUACAUGCCAGUCGAGCGAACAGACGAGGAGCUUGCUCCUCUGACGUUAGCGGCGGACGGGUGAGUAACACGUGGAUAACCUACCUAUAAGACUGGGAUAACUUCGGGAAACCGGAGCUAAUACCGGAUAAUAUAUUGAACCGCAUGGUUCAAUAGUGAAAGACGGUUUUGCUGUCACUUAUAGAUGGAUCCGCGCCGCAUUAGCUAGUUGGUAAGGUAACGGCUUACCAAGGCAACGAUGCGUAGCCGACCUGAGAGGGUGAUCGGCCACACUGGAACUGAGACACGGUCCAGACUCCUACGGGAGGCAGCAGUAGGGAAUCUACCGCAAUGGGCGAAAGCCUGACGGAGCAACGCCGCGUGAGUGAUGAAGGUCUUCGGAUCGUAAAACUCUGUUAUUAGGGAAGAACAAAUGUGUAAGUAACUAUGCACGUCUUGACGGUACCUAAUCAGAAAGCCACGGCUAACUACGU